UACCCAGUGUCCGCCGGGUGUCCUGGAUCCACUUCCUGGAUACCCAGUGUCCGCCGGGUGUCCUGGAUCCACUUCCUGGAUAUCCAGUGUCCGCCGGGUGUCCUGGAUCCACUUCCUGGAUACCCAGUGUCCGCCGGGUCUCCUGGUUCACUUCCUGGAUGCCCAGUGUCCACCAGGUCUCCUGGAUUCUGCCUAUGUCCACGUGAGGGCACCAUCAAUUUCCUGCAAGGAUCCUAAGAGAGUCAAGGUGAGGAGAUGCCUGAAGGACAGGAGGCACUCACAGGAGGCCCUGGAGACAGAUGUGCCCCACAGGCAUUCCUGAGGACCUGCGGCCUGGCAGCACGGAGACUCUGGGUGAAAACAGAACCUUGUGAUCUGCAAGUUCUGCCGCUGCCCUGUCUGUGUCUGUGAAGCAGUGUCCAGAAGGGGCCCGCAUGGAAGCUUCUGAGAGCAGUUAGGGGAAGGGGGCCCCACGUCCUCCCCGGAGGGCUGGAGAGGGAGGCAGGCUGUGUCCCCAGUUCAGUCGGGAGGAGGCCGGCAGGCGGCAGCUGUGGAGAGGAGGCGGAGCCCCCCAACUCCUGAGCCAGCAGAGGAAGGAGUGGGACAAAGCCAGCCCCAGAGGGAGACAAGACCCCGGGGAAGAGACCCCUCAGGGCGGCCCCCCAGCUCCCCCCCAGGCUUAGCUUUCAGCCUGCACCCCCAUCUGGUCCCUCAGAAUGAUUGAGGUUUCCACUCUUUUUCUGUCAGAUCUCUAGACUCCAUGUCCCCGCUCUGCCACCUACUCUGUGUGGGAUCUGAAUAAAGAGACUUAACCUUU
Nomascus leucogenys (northern white-cheeked gibbon) is the source of this 817-nucleotide long non-coding RNA. RefSeq lists it as uncharacterized. The record is from RefSeq and is a predicted model, not a curated record. The transcript is spliced from 2 exons. Lineage: Eukaryota; Metazoa; Chordata; Mammalia; Primates; Hylobatidae.